Molecule: ribosomal RNA, 466 nt
Filed under: uncultured bacterium
Lineage: Bacteria
Description: partial 16S ribosomal RNA
Rfam family: Bacterial small subunit ribosomal RNA
Source: RNAcentral
GAUGAACGCUGGCGGCGUGCUUAACACAUGCAAGUCGAACGAUGAAGCCCAGCUUGCUGGGUGGAUUAGUGGCGAACGGGGGAGUAACACGUGAGUAACCUGCCCUUUACUCUGGGCUACGCCUGGGAAACUGGGUCUAAUACUGGAUAUGACUUCUCCUCGCAUGGUGGGGGGUGGAGAGAUUUAUGGGUCUUGGAUGGACUCGCGGCGUGUCAGCUUGUUGGUGGGUUAUUGGCUCGCCACGGGGAUGACGGGUCGCCGGCCUGAGAGGGUGAUGGGCCACACUGGGACUGAGACACGGCCCAGACUCGGACGGGAGGCAGCAGUGGGGAAUAUUGCACAAUGGGCGCAAGCCUGAUGCAGCGACGCCGCGUGAGGUAUGACGGCCUUCGGGUUGUAAACCUCUUUCAGUAGGGAAGAAGCGAGAGUGACGGUACCUGCAGAAGAAGCGCCGGCUAACUACGUG